RNAcentral lists this ribosomal RNA (331 nucleotides) under uncultured bacterium. Its description in RNAcentral is "bacterial SSU rRNA". It matches the Rfam family "Bacterial small subunit ribosomal RNA", at positions 574 to 903 of the family's 1533-position model. The record is from RNAcentral.
GGUGGUGGUUUAAGUCCGUUGUGAAAGCCCUGGGCUCAACCUGGGAAUUGCAGUGGAUACUGGGUCACUAGAGUGUGGUAGAGGAUAGUGGAAUUUCCGGUGUAGCAGUGAAAUGCGUAGAGAUCGGAAGGAACAUCUGUGGCGAAGGCGACUAUCUGGGCCAACACUGACACUGAGGCACGAAAGCGUGGGGAGCAAACAGGAUUAGAUACCCUGGUAGUCCACGCCCUAAACGAUGCGAACUGGAUGUUGGGUUCAACUUGGAACCCAGUAUCGAAGCUAACGCGUUAAGUUCGCCGCCUGGGGAGUACGGUCGCAAGACUGAAACUCA